RNAcentral lists this ribosomal RNA (465 nucleotides) under Vreelandella stevensii. Its description in RNAcentral is "partial 16S ribosomal RNA". It matches the Rfam family "Bacterial small subunit ribosomal RNA", at positions 338 to 795 of the family's 1533-position model. The record is from RNAcentral. Lineage: Bacteria; Pseudomonadati; Pseudomonadota; Gammaproteobacteria; Oceanospirillales; Halomonadaceae.
CCUACGGGAGGCAGCAGUGGGGAAUAUUGGACAAUGGGGGGAACCCUGAUCCAGCCAUGCCGCGUGUGUGUAGAAGGCCCUCGGGUUGUAAAGCACUUUCAGUGAGGAAGAACGCCUGGUGGUUAAUACCCAUCAGGAAAGACAUCACUCACAGAAGAAGCACCGGCUAACUCCGUGCCAGCAGCCGCGGUAAUACGGAGGGUGCGAGCGUUAAUCGGAAUUACUGGGCGUAAAGCGCGCGUAGGUGGCUUGAUAAGCCGGUUGUGAAAGCCCCGGGCUCAACCUGGGAACGGCAUCCGGAACUGUCAAGCUAGAGUGCAGGAGAGGAAGGUAGAAUUCCCGGUGUAGCGGUGAAAUGCGUAGAGAUCGGGAGGAAUACCAGUGGCGAAGGCGGCCUUCUGGACUGACACUGACACUGAGGUGCGAAAGCGUGGGUAGCAAACAGGAUUAGAUACCCCAGUAGUC